This is a non-coding RNA of Poronia punctata, 110 nucleotides long. The record is from the annotation of a GenBank genome assembly. Lineage: Eukaryota; Fungi; Ascomycota; Sordariomycetes; Xylariales; Xylariaceae.
GGUUUCGUGGCCCAAUGGCAAGGCGUCUGACUACGAAGAGCGAUUCAACAGCAGUGGGAUCAGUCUUGGUUGUAAUCAGGAGAUUCUGGGUUCGACCCCCAGCGAGAUCA